RNAcentral lists this ribosomal RNA (482 nucleotides) under uncultured bacterium. RNAcentral's name for it is "partial 16S ribosomal RNA". It matches the Rfam family "Bacterial small subunit ribosomal RNA", at positions 30 to 507 of the family's 1533-position model. The record is from RNAcentral.
AUUGAACGCUGGCGGCAUGAUUUACACAUGCAAGUCGAACGGUAACAGGCCGCAAGGUGCUGACGAGUGGCGAACGGGUGAGUAAUGCAUCGGAACGUGCCCAGCCGUGGGGGAUAACUACUCGAAAGAGUAGCUAAUACCGCAUACGAUCUAUGGAUGAAAGCGGGGGACCGUAAGGCCUCGCGCGAUUGGAGCGGCCGAUGUCAGAUUAGGUAGUUGGUGGGGUAAAGGCUCACCAAGCCAACGAUCUGUAGCUGGUCUGAGAGGACGACCAGCCACACUGGGACUGAGACACGGCCCAGACUCCUACGGGAGGCAGCAGUGGGGAAUUUUGGACAAUGGGCGCAAGCCUGAUCCAGCAAUGCCGCGUGCAGGAAGAAGGCCUUCGGGUUGUAAACUGCUUUUGUACGGAACGAAACGGCUCUGGUUAAUACCCGGGGCUAAUGACGGUACCGUAAGAAUAAGCACCGGCUAACUACGUG